Condylura cristata (star-nosed mole) is the source of this 264-nucleotide long non-coding RNA. RefSeq lists it as uncharacterized. The record is from RefSeq and is a predicted model, not a curated record. The transcript is spliced from 3 exons. NCBI's taxonomy places the organism in Eukaryota, Metazoa, Chordata, Mammalia, Eulipotyphla, Talpidae.
UCGCUAGCAAUUCUGUCAACAUUAUUGUCUAUGAGAUGGUACUCCUUGAAUCAGAGUAUGCAACCACAUUUGGUGACCUCAGCUCAACAAUAUACACUAGGACCAAAGACAUGGGACUUACAGUAGAGGGGCAGACUUCUCAUCCUGAGUGUGAAAAAGUGCUACUAACUCAAUGAUUGUGAACAUUAAAAGAGAUCAUCCGGCCCUCCCUGGUGGUGCAGCGGGUUAAAGCACAGCAUUAAGAAGCUGAAACCACUUCCGCAU